Molecule: ribosomal RNA, 552 nt
Filed under: Cutaneotrichosporon dermatis
Lineage: Eukaryota; Fungi; Basidiomycota; Tremellomycetes; Trichosporonales; Trichosporonaceae
Description: eukaryotic LSU rRNA
Rfam family: Eukaryotic large subunit ribosomal RNA
Source: RNAcentral
CAAAUUUGUAAUCUGGCUGUCUUCGAUAGUCCGAGUUGUAAUCUAUAGACGUGUUUUCCGUGCUGGACCGUAUCUAAGUCCCUUGGAACAGGGUAUCAAAGAGGGUGACAAUCCCGUGCUUGAUACGACCACCAGUGCUCUGUGAUACACGCUCUACGAGUCGAGUUGUUUGGGAAUGCAGCUCAAAAUGGGUGGUAAAUUCCAUCUAAAGCUAAAUAUUGGCGAGAGACCGAUAGCGAACAAGUACCGUGAGGGAAAGAUGAAAAGCACUUUGGAAAGAGAGUUAAACAGUACGUGAAAUUGUUGAAAGGGAAACGAUUGAAGUCAGUCGUGUUCUUUGGAUUCAGCUAGUUCUUCUAGUCUACUUCCAUUGAACGGGUCAACAUCAGUUUUGUCCGGUGGAUAAAGAUAGUAGGAAUGUAGCUCCCCCGGGAGUGUUAUAGACUAUUAUUGCAUACACUGGGUGAGACUGAGGACUGCAGCUCGCCUUUUGGCCGGUCUUCGGACACGUUCGAGCUUAGGAUGUUGACAUAAUGGCUUUAAACGACCCGU